ACGGUUAGUUAGCUGGUUUGGUGAGUAGUGUUUCUUCUCAGGGGAGAUUGAGUUUUCUCGUGUCUCUAAGUUCGAAAAUAUUUUGCACCUUUAAGAACAUAUGGUGUACGGGUUUCACAUAUGUGCUACAAAAUGCUCGAAUUGUGACGUUAAGCCAAUCAAUACCUGAACUUUCCUUGCACAUAAUCUCCAACGUUCAUUCACAUUUAAGUCACUAGAUUUAUAAGAUCGUGAUGUUCACGAAAUGAAGUCGAUUGUUACCAUGGUGAUUGGCCACAUUGAUCAAACUUCCUUUUGCUUACUUGUUUCCUCGCGGCAUAUCCUUGUCUUUUCGCCUAUAGAAACUAAUGGUCUUAAUCAAAUGCUCAAACCUCUUCAAUUAAGGUUGGUGAUGUUAAGUUGGUAGGAUGAGAUAAAUCAAGAUCCAGUCGAUGAAUGGAAUUGUAUACUUCUUUCUUUUUUCUCACCCACUCGCUUGAAUCCAUGCAGAAUAGUUGGUGACUUGAAUAAAAAAAUAUACUGCCUUUUAAUAAAUGCAUGAUAUUCCAUUUAAUGUACUAAUCAUUUCCUAAUCUUUUAGUUAAGAAACAACUUAAU
Molecule: long non-coding RNA, 597 nt
Filed under: Brassica rapa (field mustard)
Lineage: Eukaryota; Viridiplantae; Streptophyta; Magnoliopsida; Brassicales; Brassicaceae
Description: long non-coding RNA (BRAP_LNC003338)
Source: RNAcentral